This 799-nucleotide long non-coding RNA is filed under the name Zea mays. RNAcentral describes it as "long non-coding RNA (ZMAY_LNC005386)". Lineage: Eukaryota; Viridiplantae; Streptophyta; Magnoliopsida; Poales; Poaceae. The record is from RNAcentral.
UCAACCCGCUUAACCGCAUCUUCUCCGGCUGACUUCGUGUGAGCACCGUGUGCCUGGAGGGUGAGUGAUGCUCUCCAUACGCUUGAUUGGAGUUCUACUGUUUUGUUGUCUCGGGCUCGAGCUCGCCGGACCGAGGAGCUCACCGGCGUCGUGGUUAGGGCCGGUGAGUGCUUGGCGAGGACAUGGUAAACUUGUGACCGGUUUGUGUUGGUCGGGGACAGGUUGCAGUAGUGGUUGGGGGGGGGGGCGCCGAGGCUAGCGCCGCCGCAGUCAUGGUCGCUUGCUCGCCGGCGUUGAGCACGGGCCAUCGGGGCCGAGAAUUGUAUAAAUUUUUGAAGAAACUUUUUAUCAGAAUAUGAACUCUUGGGCAAAGUUUGGAACAGUUUGGAUAUUAUUUGCUUAGCGAAAUAAUAUUUGCCCAAAAAGGAAAAUGAUUUCACCUAUGAAAUAAGGACACCUAGUAGUUAAGUAAAGCGAUGAAGUUGCUUAAGAAGUUUUAAGCUUUUGGAUAAGAUCUAAGAUGGAUUAGUUCUCUGGUUUACCUAAGUGAAUUCAAAUUGGUCACUUUUAUUAAGUGCUAGGUUGUGUAGAUAUAUGUGUAUAUGUGUCAUGUACUUAUUUAGGAGUGUUUAUGUUCCCCACCUCUCCUUGUGAGAGUUUGCAUUCCAUAUCAUUACAUAAGCAUACAUGUAUUUGUAAUUGACUUGUAGAACACCUAGAAGAAGUGGUGUUUGAAGGAGUCUACUCCAAUGGCUGCUGAUCAAGUGGAGGAGCCAUCUAACUGUGUAUUGGAUAGAGG